AGUGAACGCUGGCGGUAGGCCUAACACAUGCAAGUCGAACGGCAGCACAGUAAGAGCUUGCUCUUACGGGUGGCGAGUGGCGGACGGGUGAGGAAUACAUCGGAAUCUACUUUUUCGUGGGGGAUAACGUAGGGAAACUUACGCUAAUACCGCAUACGACCUACGGGUGAAAGCAGGGGAUCUUCGGACCUUGCGCGAUUGAAUGAGCCGAUGUCGGAUUAGCUAGUUGGCGGGGUAAAGGCCCACCAAGGCGACGAUCCGUAGCUGGUCUGAGAGGAUGAUCAGCCACACUGGAACUGAGACACGGUCCAGACUCCUACGGGAGGCAGCAGUGGGGAAUAUUGGACAAUGGGCGCAAGCCUGAUCCAGCCAUAUCGCGUGGGUGAAGAAGGCCUUCGGGUUGUAAAGCCCUUUUGUUGGGAAAGAAAGGCAGCAGGUUAAUACCCCGCUGUUCUGACGGUACCCAAAGAAUAAGCACCGGCUAACUUCGUG
RNAcentral lists this ribosomal RNA (492 nucleotides) under uncultured bacterium. RNAcentral's name for it is "partial 16S ribosomal RNA". It matches the Rfam family "Bacterial small subunit ribosomal RNA", at positions 29 to 507 of the family's 1533-position model. The record is from RNAcentral.